This 484-nucleotide ribosomal RNA is filed under the name uncultured bacterium. Its description in RNAcentral is "bacterial SSU rRNA". It matches the Rfam family "Bacterial small subunit ribosomal RNA", at positions 29 to 524 of the family's 1533-position model. The record is from RNAcentral.
AUUGAACGCUGGCGGCAUGCCUAACACAUGCAAGUCGAACGGCAGCACGGCAGUAGCAAUACUGUGGGUGGCGAGUGGCGGACGGGUGAGGAAUACGUCGGAAUCUGCCCAGUCGUGGGGGAUAACUAGCCGAAGGUUAGCUAAUACCGCAUACGACCGAGAGGUGAAAGCGGGGGACCGCAAGGCCUCGCGCGAUUGGAUGAGCCGACGUCGGAUUAGCUAGUUGGUGGGGUAAAGGCCCACCAAGGCGACGAUCCGUAGCUGGUCUGAGAGGAUGAUCAGCCACACUGGAACUGAGACACGGUCCAGACUCCUACGGGAGGCAGCAGUGGGGAAUAUUGGACAAUGGGCGCAAGCCUGAUCCAGCAAUGCCGCGUGAGGGAUGACGGCCUUCGGUUGUAAACCUCUUUCAGCAGGAAGAAGCGAAAGUGACGGUACCUGCAGAAGAAGCACCGGCUAACUACGUGCCAGCAGCCGCGGUAAU